AGUGGCGGACGGGUGAGUAACGCGUGAGAAUCUGCCUUGGGGUCGGGGACAACCACUGGAAACGGUGGCUAAUACCGGAUAAGCCGAUUGGUGAAAGAUUUAUUGCCCGAAGAGGAGCUCGCGUCUGAUUAGCUAGUUGGUGAGGUAAGAGCUCACCAAGGCAGCGAUCAGUAGCUGGUCUGAGAGGACGAUCAGCCACACUGGGACUGAGACACGGCCCAGACUCCUACGGGAGGCAGCAGUGGGGAAUUUUCCGCAAUGGGCGAAAGCCUGACGGAGCAAGACCGCGUGAGGGAGGAAGGCUCUUGGGUUGUAAACCUCUUUUCUCAGGGAAGAAGCUCUGACGGUACCUGAGGAAUCAGCCUCGGCUAACUCCGUGCCAGCAGCCGCGGUAAUACGGAGGAGGCAAGCGUUAUCCGGAAUUAUUGGGCGUAAAGCGUCCGCGGUGGCGAUUCAAGUCUGCUGUCAAAGCACGGGGCUUAACUCCGUAAAGGCAGUGGAAACUGAAUAGCUAGAGUGCCGUAGGGGUAGAGGGAAUUCCCGGUGUAGCGGUGAAAUGCGUAGAGAUCGGGAAGAACAUCGGUGGCGAAAGCGCUCUACUGGACGGCAACUGACACUCAGGGACGAAAGCUAGGGGAGCGAAUGGGAUUAGAUACCCC
Molecule: ribosomal RNA, 659 nt
Filed under: uncultured bacterium
Lineage: Bacteria
Description: bacterial SSU rRNA
Rfam family: Bacterial small subunit ribosomal RNA
Source: RNAcentral